RNAcentral lists this ribosomal RNA (233 nucleotides) under uncultured bacterium. RNAcentral describes it as "partial 16S ribosomal RNA". It matches the Rfam family "Bacterial small subunit ribosomal RNA", at positions 99 to 334 of the family's 1533-position model. The record is from RNAcentral.
CGAACGGGUGAGUAAUACAUCGGAACGUGCCCAGUUGUGGGGGGAUAGCCCGGCGAAAGCCGGAUUAAUACCGCAUACGACCUACGGGUGAAAGCGGGGGAUCGCAAGACCUCGCGCAAUUGGAGCGGCCGAUGGCAGAUUAGCUUGUUGGUGGGGUAAAAGCCUACCAAGGCGACGAUCUGUAGCUGGUCUGAGAGGACGACCAGCCACACUGGGACUGAGACACGGCCCAG